RNAcentral lists this ribosomal RNA (560 nucleotides) under uncultured bacterium. Its description in RNAcentral is "bacterial SSU rRNA". It matches the Rfam family "Bacterial small subunit ribosomal RNA", at positions 91 to 638 of the family's 1533-position model. The record is from RNAcentral.
AUGAGUGGCGGACGGGUGAGUAACACGUGGGAAAUCUGCCUAAGAGUGGGGGAUAACAUUCGGAAACGGAUGCUAAUACCGCAUAUAUUCUUGAACCGCAUGGUUCUGGAAAGAAAGACGGCUUUGCUGUCGCUUUUAGAUGAUCCCGCGGCGUAUUAGUUAGUUGGUGGGGUAAUGGCCUACCAAGACCAUGAUACGUAGCCGACCUGAGAGGGUGAUCGGCCACACUGGGACUGAGACACGGCCCAGACUCCUACGGGAGGCAGCAGUAGGGAAUCUUCCACAAUGGGUGCAAACCUGAUGGAGCAAUGCCGCGUGAAUGAAGAAGGUCUUCGGAUCGUAAAGUUCUGUUAUUAGAGAAGAACAAGUCGAGGAGUAACUGUCUCGACUUUGACGGUACCUAACCAGAAAGUCACGGCUAACUACGUGCCAGCAGCCGCGGUAAUACGUAGGUGACAAGCGUUGUCCGGAAUUAUUGGGCGUAAAGGGAGCGCAGGCGGUUGGAAUAGUCUGAUGUGAAAGCCCACGGCUUAACCGUGGAAGGUCAUUGGAAACUGUCC